RNAcentral lists this ribosomal RNA (443 nucleotides) under uncultured bacterium. RNAcentral describes it as "bacterial SSU rRNA". It matches the Rfam family "Bacterial small subunit ribosomal RNA", at positions 32 to 454 of the family's 1533-position model. The record is from RNAcentral.
AAUCAACGCUGGCGGCGUGCCUCAGACAUGCAAGUCGAACGCGAAAGUCCCCUUCGGGGGACAAGUAGAGUGGCGCACGGGUGAGUAACACGUAGGUAAUCUACCUUCGGAUGGGGAAUAACAACCGGAAACGGUUGCUAAUACCGCAUAAUGCAGCGGCACCUAAUGGUGACAGUUGUUAAAGCGGGGGAUCGAAAGACCUCGCGUCUGAAGAGGAGCCUGCGGCGGAUUAGCUAGNGGUAAGGUAAUGGCUUACCAAGGCGACGAUCCGUAGCCGGCCUGAGAGGGGCGGUCGGCCACACUGACACUGACAUACGGGUCAGACUCCUACGGGAGGCAGCAGUCGGGAAUUUUGGGCAAUGGGCGAAAGCCUGACCCAGCAACGCCGCGUGAAGGAUGAAAUCCCUCGGGAUGUAAACUUCGCAAGAACGGGAAGAAUAAGU